This 535-nucleotide ribosomal RNA is filed under the name uncultured Acidobacteriota bacterium. Its description in RNAcentral is "bacterial SSU rRNA". It matches the Rfam family "Bacterial small subunit ribosomal RNA", at positions 8 to 522 of the family's 1533-position model. The record is from RNAcentral. Lineage: Bacteria; Pseudomonadati; Acidobacteriota.
AGAGUUUGAUCAUGGCUCAGAAUCAACGCUGGCGGCGUGCCUAACACAUGCAAGUCGAACGCGAAAGUGGAGCAAUCCAUGAGUAGAGUGGCAAACGGGUGAGUAACGCGUGGGUGACCUGCCUUCGAGUGGGGGAUAACGCUCCGAAAGGGACGCUAAUACCGCAUAACAUCCCGCCUUUUAAGAGGUGGAAAUCAAAGCCUGGGACCGCAAGGCCAGGCGCUGGAAGAGGGGCCCGCGUCUGAUUAGCUAGUUGGUGGGGUAAUGGCUCACCAAGGCUUCGAUCAGUAUCCGGCCUGAGAGGGCGGACGGACACACUGGGACUGAGACACGGCCCAGACUCCUACGGGAGGCAGCAGUGGGGAAUUGUUCGCAAUGGGCGCAAGCCUGACGACGCAACGCCGCGUGGAGGAUGAAGAUCUUCGGGUCGUAAACUCCUUUCGAUCGAGACGAAUGGCCUCUGGGUGAACAAUCCAGAGGAGUGACGGUACCGAGAGAAGAAGCCCCGGCUAACUCCGUGCCAGCAGCCGCGGUA